Molecule: transfer RNA, 73 nt
Filed under: Camelus bactrianus (Bactrian camel)
Lineage: Eukaryota; Metazoa; Chordata; Mammalia; Artiodactyla; Camelidae
Also listed under: 1 other name
Rfam family: tRNA
About the family: Transfer RNA (tRNA) molecules are approximately 80 nucleotides in length. Their secondary structure includes four short double-helical elements and three loops (D, anti-codon, and T loops).
Source: Rfam by way of RNAcentral
GAGGGUAUAGCUCAGUGGUAAGAGUGCAUGCCUAACAUGCACAGGGUCCUGGGUUUGAUCCCCAGUACCUCCG